RNAcentral lists this ribosomal RNA (875 nucleotides) under Placopsis macrophthalma. Its description in RNAcentral is "SSU rRNA". The stretch from base 90 to 875 matches the Rfam family "Bacterial small subunit ribosomal RNA", at positions 1 to 1251 of the family's 1533-position model. The record is from RNAcentral. Lineage: Eukaryota; Fungi; Ascomycota; Lecanoromycetes; Trapeliales; Trapeliaceae.
ACGUAUAGCGUAAGCUGCUUGCAUAGUCUUUAUAGACAAUAUUAAGUUAAUAUAUCUGAUAUGUAUAUUAAGAUAUAGAUAUCUAAUAUCUAUAUCAAUAUAUAUAUAUUGGAUAUAAAUUUAGUUGUGUAAGAUCAACUGUGUUGAAUAAAGUUCUAGUUAGAAUUAUGAUGAUGACGUUUUCUAAUUAUAAGUCUUGACCAAAUCACGUGCCAGCUGUCGCGGUAAAACGUGGAAGACUAGUGUUAUUCAUCUUUAUUUGGUUUAAAGGGUACUUAGACUGUUAAUAAAGCCCUUAGGGUACUAAUUGACUAGAGUUUUAUGUGAGAAGGGGAGUACUAAAGUGUGUAGAGAUGAUAUUCUUUAAUACCUAACUUGGGACUGGUAAAGGCGAAAGCAACCUUUUAUGUAAAAACUGACGUUGAAGAACGAAGGCUUAGGGAACAAAUUGGAUUAGAUACCCCAGUAGUCUAAGCAGUAAACGAUGAAUGUCAUAGAUUAGAAUAAUACUUUGGUCUAUAAAUGAAAGUGUAAGCAUUCCACCUCAAGAGUAAUGUGGCAACACAGGAACUGAAAUCAUUAGACCGUUUCUGAAACCAGUAGUGGAGUAUGUCUUUUAAUUCGAUAGCCCUCAAAAAACCUUACCACAGCCUGAAUAGAUAUUUAUAUAUUUUACGAGUGUUGCACGGCUGUUUUUAGUUAAUGUCGUGAGAUAUUGGUUAGUUCCAUUAAAUUAACGUAAACCCUUACUUUAUUUUUUAGUAUAAAGUAAUUCACCGACACAAUGGCAAUGAUAAAAGGGAAUAAGACAAGUCAUCAUGGCCUUUACGCUGUGGGCUAAUGACGUGCCACAUUUGCCUUUACAAAGGGAAGCG